CAGUACCUGAAAUCACAGACCAAAGCUGCAAAAAGACCCAAAGUCAUGAAAAGACCUGAAGUUGAAGUCCUGAAGCCUCGAAAUGACCCAAAGUAAGGAAAGGAGUCUAAGCAGGAAUCCCCCACCCAAAAAGGAUGUCUCGUAACCUGGAGAGAGUGGUAACCAAAAAACAAACAGUGCAAAGAAUUCACGCGGAAUUUCACCUGACGAACGGGGAACGCCCUCCGAAACGUUGUUUGAUGCAAUAAACACACCAGGGGUAGGACCCCGGUUUAAAUCGC
Xenopus laevis (African clawed frog) is the source of this 281-nucleotide long non-coding RNA. RefSeq lists it as uncharacterized. NCBI's taxonomy places the organism in Eukaryota, Metazoa, Chordata, Amphibia, Anura, Pipidae. The transcript is spliced from 2 exons. The record is from RefSeq and is a predicted model, not a curated record.